UACGUAGGGUGCGAGCGUUAAUCGGAAUUACUGGGCGUAAAGUGUGCGUAGGCGGUUCGUUAAGUUCGUUGUGAAAGCCCCGGGCUCAACCUGGGAACUGCAAUGGAAACUAGCGGGCUUGAGUGUGGCAGAGGGGGGUGGAAUUCCACGUGUAGCAGUGAAAUGCGUAGAGAUGUGGAGGAACACCGAUGGCGAAGGCAGCCCCCUGGGUCAACACUGACGCUCAUGCACGAAAGCGUGGGGAGCAAACAGG
RNAcentral lists this ribosomal RNA (253 nucleotides) under uncultured prokaryote. RNAcentral's name for it is "partial 16S ribosomal RNA". It matches the Rfam family "Bacterial small subunit ribosomal RNA", at positions 524 to 776 of the family's 1533-position model. The record is from RNAcentral.